GACUGCAACAUCCCCUCACGCCUAGUCUGUAAAGAACUUUGUUUAACCCGGAGGCGGGGCCAGCCAGCUCCGCCCCUCCAGCUGGACGCGGGAGCGAGGUUGAGGUUCAUACCCCUGGGUUCUCUCCAGGCCUGAGGCGGAGAGCCAGCCGCCUGCCUACCUCUGGGCUUUGAACCCCGGGUCUGGUGACUUCGCUUAAAGACCUCGGGCCGAAGGCCCGCCAGGCUCAACCUCGGUUCACAGGACCCCCGACUUGUGUGAGUCGUACACCGCUCUUUACCGUCUCUGGACCUAGGUCAUCUCGGCAGUAAAAUGGGGUGAAAUGACCCGACCUCCCCGGAGGAUGCCGCGCACGAUGUGUGCCUCAAGUUGGCUUCCACUGACCUGAACUGUUAAGAAAGCCCUCCUCAGUGACGCCUUCCCUGAAUCCACAGUGGAGAUUGCCGUUUUCCUGGAACUAAUUCACCCACACUUACCCAUUUCAUCCCUUUCCACCUUUUAUUUCUACCUUUCUGCCCCACUGAUCUCUAGAAUAGGUGCUGGGAGACGUUAGAGUAUUUGAUCUCCCACUCCCCAGUCAUCCCACUUACCGAGCAGUAAUUCUCUGCCUGGCUGCACAUUGCAAUCACUUGGGAAGCCUCUAAAAAUACUGAUGCCAGGGCUCUACCCCAAGCCAGUUAAAAUCUCCAGCGCUGGACCUGGGCAUUGGUACUUUUUGUAAAGCUUUCAGUUUACCAAGAUGAUGCCAGUAUAGCUAGUGAGAUGCAGCACCCCAUCCUCAGCCCCCUCGCCUCUGGAAGAGACACCAGACUGCAAAGGGCACCGCGUACAGAAGCUAACGGAACUUGAAUGACAAGACAAAAAGAGCAGAAUCAGUUAGUGUGACACAACAUUCUAACAUGCCUGAUUCUUACAUCAAAUAUGGUAACUUUGGGGUUGGUAGGGGGAGACAAACAAGGAGAAUCCACUUGGGAACAAUUUGAUGAAGUUUGCAAAUCAGCACUUUACCCCCAAAUUAACAACAGCUUGUAUGGAAAAAAAAAUGCUCUUUUAAAAGUAUAUGGUUUGGACAGGUAUAUUUGUUUUCUCUUGUAGUUUUUGUAAAAAAGUAUCAAAACCUUGGCUUUAAAUAUAUAU
RNAcentral lists this long non-coding RNA (1137 nucleotides) under Homo sapiens (human). RNAcentral describes it as "HSALNT0292190". The record is from RNAcentral. Lineage: Eukaryota; Metazoa; Chordata; Mammalia; Primates; Hominidae.